UAUUAUUAUUUAAAGGGGGCAUCGUCCCCUCUUUGCUUUUUUAUUUAUAAAAAAGUUUAAAAAAAGAAAUAUUUAGUAUUCCAUAGAAGGUUAUAGCCCAGUAUUAUUAUAAUAUUAGUUAAUUUAGAUGGGCUUUGUUCAUACCUUUUUUUUCUUAUAUAAUGAAAAAAAAAAAAUAAAAAAAGUAUGCCGAGCCUAUAUAAUUUAAACUUAACUCCUUUUUAAACUUUUUUUUAUACUAAAAAAAUAAAAGGAGUUAAGAUUAAGAUAAAUAAUAAGUACUAAGAGGACGUCAGCCUUUUAGGAAAAUAGGGGUACCAUCCUCUAAAGCUAAGUAUAACAUAUAUAACAAUAAAGAAGAGUAACGUGAGUGAAAGGUGAAAAGUAAGUAGAUGACUAGUUAAAUAGAUUCUGAACUAGUAGUUUUAUAAGCAGUUAAAGUUCUAUAAGUUAGAAUAAUAACGUACCUUUUGCAUAAUGGGUCAGCGAGUUAAUUUUUAUAGCAUGACAAAUAGUCUAAGUGAAAGCAAUUGCAUAAAUAUACUUAACGUAUGAAAGUGGUAGAGUCUAAUCUUUAUCAGGGGUUCCUCUUUGCUUUUUUAUUCUUUGUUUUUUAUUAUAAUAAAAAAAAUAAAUAUAAUGAAGAAAAAAAAAGGAUAAAAAAGCAAAGACGCAUAAAAAAAGUGACGGGGGGGCGAAGCCUCCCCCGUCACUUUUUUUAACCGGUGAUCUCUUUUACCCUUUUUAAAUAUGCAAAUUAGUUAUAAAAAUUAGACCCGAAGCCAAGUGAUCUUACUAUGAUCAGGUAUUAAAUAUAUAAUGACCGAACAAGUGAAUGUUGCAAAAUUCUUUGAUGAAUUGUAGUAAGGGGUGAAAUGCUAAUCUAACUUGGUUGAUAGCUGGUAUUCUGCGAAACCUAUUUAGGUAGGAUGUUUAUAAUAAAAAAGUGACAUAAAAAUCAUUUUUAUAGAUUAUUUUUUGUACAGCACUGAUCAUCAUAUGUUAUCUUUAUAUGUUACUAUACAAGGAAACUUUUAUUCUAACAUGGUCGGUAAACUUUUUAAAGUAUCCGAUAAAAUUUAUAUACUAAAUUGGGGGAUUCUAAAUUCUACCAUUGAUGGUUAACCUCGGAAUAAAAAUAAUUGAUUAUAAACGUACAGUCUAUUCUUGAUAAGGUGGAUAGACAAAAGGGAAACAGCCCAGAACAAAAGUUAAGGUCCCUAAAUAUUAUUUAGUGAAAAUAAGAAUGUUUUUUUCCUAACACAACCAUUAAGUAGGCUUGGAGGUAGCCAUCUUUUUAUGAUAGUGUAAUAACUCAGUGGUCUAAACGCCUUCCGGGCGAUAUAAUUAAUUAUAUUGGAAAAAAGCGUCUACAAUUUAUUGGGUCUCAGAUAAUAUACCUACACUUUGUCUAUUUUAUUGAAAAUACUUUAAAGCCGAAGGCAAAGGCCGAAGGCCUCCUUUUUUAUUAUGUCUAAUAAAAAAGCAAACCCCCUAGGGAGGGCGAAGCCCCCCCAUCACUUUUUAAAAAGAAAUUGCCGAAGGCGUUGUGAUUCUUUGCUUUUUUAUUAUAUUUUUUUAUUAUAUUUAUAUAAUAAAAAAACAAAGAUAGAAUCGGCGAAGCCUCGGCGAAGCCGUAAAGUUAACAUUUAACACGUGGUAUAAUAAAAAAAUAUGAAAAGAUUUAAAUAAAAUAAGGGUAGCAGAACAUUUAGUAUAAUAAUGAAAAUUUGUAUUUAUUGAUAAAUUGGAAGAUACUAAAGAGAAAAUGCUGACAUGAGUAACGUAGAAAGGGAUUAAAAUAUUCCUCACCGAAAACGAGAGGGUUUCAUAGAUAAGUUUAUCUGCUAUGAGUUAAUCGGUUUCUAAGGCAUAUAUAUGAUCAUAUAUAUCUGAUGACAUUAAACUUUUUUUUUUUUAUUACCUAGGAGGACGCCUAUGUCCUUUUUUUCUAUUUCUUACCUUUUUUAUUAUAUAACGGGCAAAGGCCCCGCCCCCUUCUUUUUUAAUAUAUAAACUUUUUUAAGUAUUUAUCGAUAAUAAAAAAGCAAAGAAAAGAACGGUACGGAGGUGUUAAAAAUGGAUUACUGGAAUAGAAUGCCCUAAUCUUUACGGCUUCGCCGAGGCUUCGCCGAGGCUUCGCCGAUUAUUAUAAAAAGAAGGGAUAGGGGGGGGUCUACGACCUCCCCUUCUAGAAGGUUAUAAAAUAAUUAAAAACUACCGGGCUUUGUCCCGUAUCAAGAAAUUAAUGAUAAAAAUAAUAUGUAAAUAACAUAGUUAGGCGAGGUGUAUUCUUUUAACUUUAUUUAAAACUUUUUGAUCUUUUAGCUUUUUUAUUAUCGAUAAUAAAAAAGUUAAAAGUUCAAAAAGUUAUAAAGCAAAGAGGAUGCGCCCUUCAAAAUAAAAGAAUAAAUUAAAUUAUUAUCGACUCUAUGCUUUUUAUUUAUAUAACAUUUUAUAGACCGUACCCUAAUCCGACACAGGUUCGUAGGUAGAGAAUACUAAGGUGUAGAGAUAAUACUUGUGAAGGAACUCGGCAAAAUGUAUCCGUACGUUCGACAAUAAGGAUAACCAUUUUAUGUAUAUCUUUGUAUACAUACAAUGUGUGACACAAAAUCGAGAGCUGCGACUGUUUACCAAAAACACAGCAACUUGCUAAGACAUUUAGUAUUUGUAUAAGUUGUGAACUCUGCCCGAUGCCACAUAGUAUAAAAAAGAUGAUUUUAUGUCAUUGAUCGACACUGUGGUGAAUGGCGGUCUUAACUAUAAGGAUCUGAAAGUAGCAAAAUUCCUUGGCCAUUAAAUGUGGUCCUGCAUGAAUGAGGUAACGUGGCUCUGCUGUCUCCACAAGUAUCUCAGUGAAAUUGAAUUAGCCGUGCAGAUGCGGUUUGUCUUCAGGUAGACGGGAAGACCCUAUGCAACUUUACUGUAGUUUGAUAUUGUGUUUUUGUUCUUUAAGUGUAGAAUACAAGGGAGUAAAUAUUUUACGUCAGUGAAAUACCUUGAUUAAUAGAAUAAGAAAACUUACCAAAAUAAAUUACGAGGGCUACGCUCUUGAAAAACCACAUUUUGGGAAAAUGUCAAAUUGUCAGUUUGACUGGGACGGUAGCCUCUAAUAAAGUAUCAGAGGCCUUCAAAGGUAUGUAUAUAUUGGUCAGAAACCAAUAAAUUAUGAAUAAUUUAAUAAAAUAUAAUGAUAAAACAUACUUAACUGAAAGAUUGAUAAAUCGAUCAGAUAUGCAAAUAGGACAUAGUGAUCCGGUAAUCCUUAAUGGAAUGAUUAUCGCUCAAGAAAUAAAAGUUACGCUAGGGAUGGACUAAACCUAGUCCCUAGCUAUCUUUGCUUUUUUAUUAUAUA
This is a non-coding RNA of Tilletia controversa (dwarf bunt fungus), 3358 nucleotides long. The record is from Rfam. NCBI's taxonomy places the organism in Eukaryota, Fungi, Basidiomycota, Exobasidiomycetes, Tilletiales, Tilletiaceae.